UAGGAAUAUGCCUUGAAGUGGGGGACAACUUGGGGAAACUCAAGCUAAUACCGCAUAAUCUCUUCGGAGAAAAGCUAGGGACCUUUUGGCCUGGCGCUUCAAGAUUAGCCUGCGUACGAUUAGCUAGUUGGUAGGGUAAAGGCCUACCAAGGCGACGAUCGUUAGCUGGUCUGAGAGGAUGAUCAGCCACACUGGAACUGAGACACGGUCCAGACUCCUACGGGAGCAG
This 229-nucleotide ribosomal RNA is filed under the name uncultured bacterium. RNAcentral describes it as "partial 16S ribosomal RNA". It matches the Rfam family "Bacterial small subunit ribosomal RNA", at positions 118 to 347 of the family's 1533-position model. The record is from RNAcentral.